Molecule: non-coding RNA, 480 nt
Organism: Pelobates cultripes (western spadefoot toad)
Lineage: Eukaryota; Metazoa; Chordata; Amphibia; Anura; Pelobatidae
Source: the annotation of a GenBank genome assembly
GCGGCCUUCAUGUGAGAAAGGAGAGACAGCCGCCACCCUGCCUGACUGCUUGCUGGACCGCACACAGGCCCCCUACCCCUCCUCCCCCCUUUGGGCCGGGGGGGUUAUCCCGGUCCCCACUGGAGGACGCUGAGGCGAUCCUCACUAAGACCUGCAGGGCACACUCUGAUGCUCCGAAUUUAAAAUGGCCACCGAACCGCAUCUCCGCCACGCGGCCAAAUGAGAAGCACCUCGAGCAACGCAGGCAACCAGCUAAGGGGCUUCCUGCCCAAGCCGUAAACCAGGCGACUUGACACCCCUGGAGGUGAAAAGCGGAUGAGCCACACUUCCAGCUCUUGACCUUCAGCAGACCACCCACAACACCACAUUAAGGCUGGGAAAGGCAAAGGCAGCUGCUGGGCAGGAAAAGAAAUGAGAGGACAUCACACGUCCAGCAUGGGAGAUAGAUGAAAUGCCUCAUAACACAUUACUCAGCCUCAC